GAUGAACGCUGGCGGCGUGCCUAAUACAUGCAAGUCGAGCGAACAGAUGAGGAGCUUGCUCCUCUGACGUUAGCGGCGGACGGGUGAGUAACACGUGGAUAACCUACCUAUAAGACUGGGAUAACUUCGGGAAACCGGAGCUAAUACCGGAUAAUAUAUUGAACCGCAUGGUUCAAUAGUGAAAGACGGUUUUGCUGUCACUUAUAGAUGGAUCCGCGCCGCAUUAGCUAGUUGGUAAGGUAGCGGCUUACCAAGGCAACGAUGCGUAGCCGACCUGAGAAGGUGAUCGGCCACACUGGAACUGAGACACGGUCCAGACUCCUACGGGAGGCAGCAGUAGGGAAUCUUCCGCAAUGGGCGAAAGCCUGACGGAGCAACGCCGCGUGAGUGAUGAAGGUCUUCGGAUCGUAAAACUCUGUUAUUAGGGAAGAACAAAUGUGUAAGUAACUAUGCACGUCUUGACGGUACCUAAUCAGAAAGCCACGGCUAACUACGUG
RNAcentral lists this ribosomal RNA (497 nucleotides) under uncultured bacterium. RNAcentral's name for it is "partial 16S ribosomal RNA". It matches the Rfam family "Bacterial small subunit ribosomal RNA", at positions 28 to 507 of the family's 1533-position model. The record is from RNAcentral.